Molecule: ribosomal RNA, 468 nt
Filed under: uncultured bacterium
Lineage: Bacteria
Description: partial 16S ribosomal RNA
Rfam family: Bacterial small subunit ribosomal RNA
Source: RNAcentral
GACGAACGCUGGCGGCGUGCUUAACACAUGCAAGUCGAACGGAAAGGCCCUGCUUUUGUGGGGUGCUCGAGUGGCGAACGGGUGAGUAACACGUGAGUAACCUGCCCUUGACUUUGGGAUAACUUCAGGAAACUGGGGUUAAUACCGGAUAGGAGCUCCUGCUCCAUUGUGGGGGUUGGAUAGUUUCGGCGGUUGGGGAUGGACUCGCGGCUUAUCAGCUUGUUGGUGGGGUAGUGGCUUACCAAGGCUUUGACGGGUAGCCGGCCUGAGAGGGUGACCGGCCACAUUGGGACUGAGAGAGGGCCCAGACUCCUAUGGGAGGCAGCAGUGGGGAGUAUUGCACAAUGGGCGGAAGCCUGAUGCAGAAACGCCGCGUGCGGGAUGACGGCCUUCGGGGUGUAAACCGCUUUCGCCUGUGACGAAGCGUGAGUGACGGUAAUGGGUAAAGAAGCACCGGCUAACUACGUG